Molecule: ribosomal RNA, 214 nt
Filed under: uncultured bacterium
Lineage: Bacteria
Description: partial 16S ribosomal RNA
Rfam family: Bacterial small subunit ribosomal RNA
Source: RNAcentral
UGAGCAGUCUGCCCUUCACAUCGGAAUAACCAUUGGGAACGAUGGCUAAUACCGAAUAUGACUUCGGAUCGCAUGAUCUGAAGUGGAAAGCUCCGGCGGUGAAGGAUGAGCUCGCGGCCUAUCAGCUUGUUGGUGAGGUAAUAGCUCACCAAGGCGAUGACGGGUAGCCGGCCUGAGAGGGUGACCGGCCACACUGGGACUGAGACACGGCAGA